This 484-nucleotide ribosomal RNA is filed under the name uncultured bacterium. RNAcentral's name for it is "partial 16S ribosomal RNA". It matches the Rfam family "Bacterial small subunit ribosomal RNA", at positions 30 to 507 of the family's 1533-position model. The record is from RNAcentral.
AUUGAGCGCUGGCGGCAGGCCUAACACAUGCAAGUCGAGCGGAUGAAGGGAGCUUGCUCCUGGAUUCAGCGGCGGACGGGUGAGUAAUGCCUAGGAAUCUGCCUGGUAGUGGGGGAUAACGUCCGGAAACGGGCGCUAAUACCGCAUACGUCCUGAGGGAGAAAGUGGGGGAUCUUCGGACCUCACGCUAUCAGAUGAGCCUAGGUCGGAUUAGCUAGUUGGUGGGGUAAAGGCCUACCAAGGCGACGAUCCGUAACUGGUCUGAGAGGAUGAUCAGUCACACUGGAACUGAGACACGGUCCAGACUCCUACGGGAGGCAGCAGUGGGGAAUAUUGGACAAAGGGCGAAAGCCUGAUCCAGCCGUGCCGCGUGUGUGAAGAAGGUCUUCGGAUUGUAAAGCACUUUAAGUUGGGAGGAAGGGCAGUAAGUUAAGACCUUGCUGUUUUGACGUUACCAACAGAAUAAGCACCGGCUAACUUCGUG